Molecule: long non-coding RNA, 2692 nt
Organism: Mustela erminea (ermine)
Lineage: Eukaryota; Metazoa; Chordata; Mammalia; Carnivora; Mustelidae
Exons: 4
Source: RefSeq, a predicted model, not a curated record
GGAGCGGUUCCACUGGUGUCUUCGACCUCCCGUCUUUAACCACACUUGGAGGUCAGCGUCAGAGAAACUGAGCGGCACCUAGAUAAAGGGCUGGGGGCGGAAGGAACGAUCUGUCUCAUGGAGCCAGAGUGAAGAAGGGUUGUCAGGUGGGGAUAAGCAGGCACCUCCCACCUAAAGCCUGCACACCUGCUCCAAUUCCUGGGAGAAGGAGAGACACAUGCUUGUUUCUUAAGUGGCUUCCAUUCUGAGGGGCCUGGCUCCCAAGCCCCCCGGAUUAACAACCACUGCAUGACACUCCAGGACUCCGCCAGCCACGCAGUAGGAAACCAUGCACUUGGAGCUGCGCCGAACCCUCAGAAGGUACAGGGGCUGGGGUCAGGAAGGAUAGAUCCCAGUGUCUUCCCACUCUGCCACUGGAAAGAAAGAGCCCUCUCCCCCAUCAUCCAAAAUGUUGCAGAUCUGGGGUGUCAGAAACUACGACCCAUGGGCUAAUUGGACCUCCCCCACCCCCGUAUUCUUGCAAUCAAGUGUGUCUGGAACACUAGUUAUGGAUGGUCUGUGGCUGCUUUCAAGCCCCAAUGCAAGAGUGGAGUCAUCACAUGGACGGCAACACCUAACUGAAAAUUUUUACAGAAGACAUUACAGAAAAGUCUGUGCCGAUCCCUGGUCUCAAAGAUCCUAGGAUCAUGUCCCUUCUUUGAGGAGAACAUAGCACCUUCUGGGUCAAAUCUAAUUUCUUCACCCCCAGAGGCAAGGGAUGCCAUCCUUUUAGCCACAACACCAUCUCCAUCCUCCUCUACUGACACCUUGAACAGCAUGUCUACAGGUCUGCCGCCCUAUGGGAAUUCACUGUCAUUUCCAUGGUAGUGAUGCUCAGAAACGGAGGUGUAACUGUGAACUUGUGAGGGUGAGCGUGUGUUUCCUCUUUUGUAGCCACAGUGUGCAAGGAGAAUACAAUAUAGCAGCAUGCAUUCUGCUCCACAGGAAUGCCACACAAUGUGGUUGAAUAAUGAUCUCAGAAGGAAGCCACCUUCAUAGAACAAGCUUCAUCUGGGAGGACUCCCAAGUCCCUUGUCCUUGACACUAGGUUCCACCAAGGCUGAGGGCACACAGAGGGACAGAGACUCCCCCUGCCCAUUGGGCUUUUGAAGGACGCCUGCUAUUCCAGGACAAAAAGAUCCCAAAGCCAUUCAUCCACCUGCCAUCCAGCCAGGUAUCUGUGAGAUCUACUUCAAGGAAAAAAGACAGCCUGAGAGACAACAAAUGACAGCCAUGUGUGACAGGAGUCAUGACAUGGGACACUCAGGAGGACUUGGGGUGUGCAGGGUUGGACAGACCCAGGGGUAGGGGGACAGGGAAUGCUCCAGGAGGGUGAUCACAGCUGUGUCACUAUUUGGGAUGCUCGGGAGGACUGGGAGUAUGCAGGGUUGGCAAGACCUGGGGGAAGGGAGACCAGGGGUGCUCCAGGAGGAUGUCACAGCUGUGCCCUUGGGUGGCUGCACAGGUCAGUGUGACUGGGCAUUGGCCAGACUGGAAAUGACAGCGUGGGUGAGGGGCAGUGUCCCUAAACUGUCUUCUGCAAGUCAACAGUUCGGUAACAAGAUUUCUUUCAAUGCGAUUUCAUGUUACAUGUGUCCGUGAGUCCUUAAAGCUGAUUGUGUAGAACAUGAAGUAUGUAGUUGGCCAUUGCUUUCAAACCUGAGGUGCCGGGCGUGGAGCACACUUGAUCUUUCUUUUGCCGGCUUUCAGAGUAGGAUGACUUUUCCCACCUUCCUCUCUGACCCCAGGACAAGGAACAAAGGCAACACAGAUCAACACUUUGCAAGAUCAACAGAAAUCUGCAAACCCAAGAUCUCACAGGAGCUAAGGGUUCAGGACCAGGGUGGCAGAAAGGGGAGGCUGAUAAAAAGGAACGAAGGCAAUGUGUCAUAUGCCUGUGAGCUGGCCCACUUCUCUACCGAUCGGAAGCAAGCCAUGCCUAGUAGGAGGGAGUCCCACCUGCACCUGGCCUGUCUGUUUAUUGCCCUUGAGCAGAGUGGAGGAUGGGCUGAGUGGGGUGUGGCUGUCGGGGGUAGAUGGCCAGCUGGCCACAGAAGCUACCUGCCAAGUCCCUAGAGGACCAGCUGCUGGUCCUCAGCUAAGAUGAAACAAUCAUUAUAUGUAGUGACCUAUUUCUAGGGACAGGUCAUGUGCUCAGUACCUUGGUGACUGUAUCUUCUCCCACUGUAUUUUUUAAAACCCCUUAGGCAGGUAAGAUUGCCCUACAAAAAGGUUCCAUAGUUAAUGAAUGUAGCUUGACCUUGACCCUAACCCUAAUAUCUAGUGAAGAUGUACUCGAUUUAGAACAUUGCUUGUAAAUUAAAGGAUGGUUUUUAGGAGCUAAGGACUCCAGGGCCCAACCUUCUUCUGUCUUAUUCUCCCUUGAAUCCCGUAAAUGGGAACCCAUUUGGCCACGUGCUAUCAGGAGAGUGGCCACACGGGAGCAGCAGUGAGGAAACAGCGCCCCAAACACCAAGGGGAAGCCCAUUCUUCCUUCAUCCUGUCAAGCCUUGUUCCUUCAAUGUUUACAGGUCAUUGUAUAGAUGACAAAAAGUGGGACUUUGUUGAAUUUCUUAAAGAGCAAACUAAUUCGUUCAACCUGUUAAGAAGAGAAGAUGCUUUCUAAAAUCUUGAGCUUGGGGGCACCUGGGUG